UAGUAACGGCGAGUGAAGCGGCAACAGCUCAAAUUUGAAAUCUGGCCUCGGCCCGAGUUGUAAUUUGCAGAGGAAGCUUUAGGCGCGGCACCUUCUGAGUCCCCUGGAACGGGGCGCCAUAGAGGGUGAGAGCCCCGUAUAGUUGGAUGCCUAGCCUGUGUAAAGCUCCUUCGACGAGUCGAGUAGUUUGGGAAUGCUGCUCAAAAUGGGAGGUAAAUUUCUUCUAAAGCUAAAUACCGGCCAGAGACCGAUAGCGCACAAGUAGAGUGAUCGAAAGAUGAAAAGCACUUUGAAAAGAGGGUUAAAUAGCACGUGAAAUUGUUGAAAGGGAAGCGCUUGUGACCAGACUUGCGCUGGGCUGAUCAUCCGGUGUUCUCACCGGUGCACUCUGCCCGGCGCAGGCCAGCAUCGGUUCUCGCGGGGGGAUAAAGGCACCGGGAACGUGGCUCCUCCGGGAGUGUUAUAGCCCGGGGCGUAAUGCCCUCGCGGGGACCGAGGUUCGCGCAUCU
This 509-nucleotide ribosomal RNA is filed under the name Dichotomopilus fusus. Its description in RNAcentral is "eukaryotic LSU rRNA". It matches the Rfam family "Eukaryotic large subunit ribosomal RNA", at positions 81 to 602 of the family's 3401-position model. The record is from RNAcentral. Lineage: Eukaryota; Fungi; Ascomycota; Sordariomycetes; Sordariales; Chaetomiaceae.